UUCGGGAACUGGAGAGUGGCGCACGGGUGAGUAACGCGUGGGGACCUACCUUUCAGUGGGGGAUAACGGUUGGAAACGACCGCUAAUACCGCAUACGCCCUUCGGGGGAAAGAUUUAUCGCUGAAAGAUGGACCCGCGUUGGAUUAGAUAGUUGGUGAGGUAACGGCUCACCAAGUCAGCGAUCCAUAGCUGGUUUGAGAGGAUGAUCAGCCACACUGGGACUGAGACACGGCCCAGACUCCUACGGGAGGCAGCAGUGGGGAAUAUUGGACAAUGGGCGCAAGCCUGAUCCAGCCAUGCCGCGUGAGUGAAGAAGGCCUUCGGGUUGUAAAGCUCUUUCAGAUGCGAAGAUGAUGACGGUACCAUCAGAAGAAGCCCCGGCUAAUUUCGUGCCAGCAGCCGCGGUAAUACGAAAGGGGCAAGCGUUGUUCGGAUUUACUGGGCGUAAAGGGCACGCAGGCGGUCUUGCCAGUCAGGGGUGAAAGCCCGGGGCUCAACCCCGGAACUGCCUCUGAUACUGCAAGACUAGAGACUAGGAGAGGGUGGUGGAAUUCCCAGUGUAGAGGUGAAAUUCGUAGAUAUUGGGAGGAACACCAGAGGCGAAGGCGGCCACCUGGACUAGAUCUGACGC
Molecule: ribosomal RNA, 631 nt
Filed under: Thalassospira permensis
Lineage: Bacteria; Pseudomonadati; Pseudomonadota; Alphaproteobacteria; Rhodospirillales; Thalassospiraceae
Description: bacterial SSU rRNA
Rfam family: Bacterial small subunit ribosomal RNA
Source: RNAcentral